Molecule: unclassified non-coding RNA, 520 nt
Filed under: uncultured Glomus
Lineage: Eukaryota; Fungi; Glomeromycota; Glomeromycetes; Glomerales; Glomeraceae
Description: SSU rRNA
Rfam family: Eukaryotic small subunit ribosomal RNA
Source: RNAcentral
AGCAGCCGCGGUAAUUCCAGCUCCAAUAGCGUAUAUUAAAGUUGUUGCAGUUAAAAAGCUCGUAGUUGAAUUUCGGGGUUAGUAGGUUGGUCAUGCCUCUGGUAUGUACUGGUCUCACUGGUUCCUCCUUCCUGAUGAGCCGUAAUGCCAUUAAUUUGGUGUUGCGGGGAAUUUGGACUGUUACUUUGAAAAAUUAGAGUGUUUAAAGCAAGCUAACGCUUGAAUACAUUAGCAUGGAAUAAUGAAAUAGGACGUUCGAUCCUAUUUUGUUGGUUUCUAGGAUUGACGUAAUGAUUAAUAGGGAUAGUUGGGGGCAUUAGUAUUCAAUUGUCAGAGGCGAAAUUCUUGGAUUUAUUGAAGACUAACUACUGCGAAAGCAUUUGCCAAGGAUGUUUUCAUUAAUCAAGAACGAAGUUAGGGGAUCGAAGACGAUCAGAUACCGUCGUAGUCUUAACCAUAAACUAUGCCGACUAGGGAUCGGAUGAUGUUAAUUUUUAUGUACUCAUUCGGCGCCUUACGG